This 332-nucleotide signal recognition particle RNA is filed under the name Homo sapiens (human). RNAcentral describes it as "Metazoan signal recognition particle RNA". It matches the Rfam family "Metazoan signal recognition particle RNA". Rfam says of the family: The signal recognition particle (SRP) is a universally conserved ribonucleoprotein. It is involved in the co-translational targeting of proteins to membranes. Lineage: Eukaryota; Metazoa; Chordata; Mammalia; Primates; Hominidae. The record is from Rfam by way of RNAcentral.
GCUGGGCAUGGUGGCGUGUGCCUGUAGUCCCAGCUACUCAGGAGGCUGAGGCAGGAGAAUUGCUUGAACCCGGGAGGUGGAGGUUGUAGUGAGCUGAGAUCGUGCCACUGCACUCCAGCCUGGUGACAGAGUGAGACUCCAUCUCAAAAAAAAAUAAAAUAAAUAAAUAAAUGCAAAAUUAAAGUGUGGUUUCUUAUGCUAGAACAACAAAGUUUUCUUUUUUUUUUUUUUGAGAUGGAGUCUCACUCAGUCGCCCAGGCUGGAGUGCAGUGGCAUGAUCUCGGCUCACUGCAAGCUCCGCCUCCCAGGUUCACGCCAUUCUCCUGCCUCAG